UUAUGAACAAUUUCUUGGUAUAUAUGAGUUUGUGGACUUUCAAUUUGAGAGGUGUGUGUAUUCCAGAAGGAGAAUAAUAAUCAAAGGUUUGUAUUUUCGUUUUGUGUCCUUUUUUUUUUCAUAAUAAUCAACGUAUGAUGUUCCUCUUUUAAUUUAAGCACUAACCAAUUCAUAUUUGGUGUAGCUUUCUGAGGCGUGCAAAUAGAGUGGUCGAUUGCUACCGCAACAUAUAAAGGGUAACAUUUAAGCUUGAAGUGGGCAAAUAUAUAUAUAUAUAUAUAUAAUUGUAAAGCAAACUUUGUUUUGCUGUGUCAUCUCUACAAAAACUCUUAUGCUUAUGUGUCAUCUCUACAAACUCAUAUUUUUUCAUAUGCAUUGUUAUUGUGUANNNNNNNNNNNNNNNNNNNNNNNNNNNNNNNNNNNNNNNNNNUUUACUAUUUUCCUAUCAAAAAAUCUUCUUAGCCUUUCAAUUCCCACAAAAAAUUAAAACGUGACAUUAAUUGACUAUAUAUAUAUGUGCCUUAUGAACAAUCUCUUGCUAGAUAUGGGUUUGUGGACUUUUCAAUUUGAGAGGUGUGUGUAUUGCAGAAGGAGAAUAAUAAUCAAAGAUUUGUAUUUUCAUUUUGUGUCCUUUUUUCAUAAUAAUCAGCGUAUGAUAUUACUCUUUUAAUUUAAGCACCUACCAAUUUGUGUUUGGUGUAGCUUUUUGAGGCGUGCAAAUGGAGUGGUUGAUUGCUACCGCAACAUAUAAAGGGUAACAUUUAAGCUUGAAGUGACAUAUGCAUGUUUGGAUACAAGUUAUGCCAUCGGGAACUUUAGUAAGCUGUCAUAAAAUUAAAAAAUAU
This 845-nucleotide long non-coding RNA is filed under the name Trifolium pratense (red clover). RNAcentral describes it as "long non-coding RNA (TPRA_LNC008409)". Lineage: Eukaryota; Viridiplantae; Streptophyta; Magnoliopsida; Fabales; Fabaceae. The record is from RNAcentral.